RNAcentral lists this transfer RNA (71 nucleotides) under Loxodonta africana (African savanna elephant). It matches the Rfam family "tRNA". Rfam says of the family: Transfer RNA (tRNA) molecules are approximately 80 nucleotides in length. The record is from Rfam by way of RNAcentral. Lineage: Eukaryota; Metazoa; Chordata; Mammalia; Proboscidea; Elephantidae.
GCAGUGGUGGUUCAGUGGUAGAAUUCUUGCCUUCCCUGCAGGAGACCACGGUACACUUCCUCGCCAUUGUA